Molecule: ribosomal RNA, 265 nt
Filed under: uncultured bacterium
Lineage: Bacteria
Description: partial 16S ribosomal RNA
Rfam family: Bacterial small subunit ribosomal RNA
Source: RNAcentral
GUCCACGCCCUAAACUAUGGAUACUCGACAUCAGCGAUACACUGUUGGUGUCUGAGCGAAAGCAUUAAGUAUCCCACCUGGGAAGUACGAUCGCAAGAUUGAAACUCAAAGGAAUUGGCGGGGUCCGCACAAGCGGUGGAGCAUGUGGUUUAAUUUCGAUGAUACGCGAGGAACCGUUACCUGGGCGUAGAAUGCUGGGAGGACCGUGGGUGGAAAGCUCAUUUGUUAGCAAUACACUGCCAGUAAGGUGCUGCAUGGCUGUCGU